AUUGAACGCUGGCGGCAGGCCCAACACAUGCAAGUCGAACGGUAACAGGAAGACUCUUGCUUCUUUGCUGCCGAGUGGCGGACGGGUGAGUCAUGUCUGGGAAACUGCCUGAUGGAGGGGGAUAACUACUGGAAACGGUAGCUAAUACCGCAUAACGUCGCAAGACCAAAGAGGGGGAGCUUCGGGCCUCUUGCCAUCGGAUGUGCCCAGAUGGGAUUAGCUAGUAGGUGGGGUAACGGCUCACCUAGGAGACGAUCCCUAACUGGUAGGAGAGGAUGACCAGCCACACUGGAAGUGAGACACGGUCCAGACUCCUAGGGGAGGCAGCAGGGGGGAAUAUUGCACAAUGGGGGCAAGCCUGAUGCAGCCAUGCCGGGUGUAGGAAGAAGGCCUUCGGGUUGGAAAGUACUUUCAGCGGGGAGGAAGGGAGGAAAGUUAAUACCUGUGCUCAUUGACGGUACCCGCAGAAGAAGCACCGGCUAACUCCGUG
This 490-nucleotide ribosomal RNA is filed under the name uncultured bacterium. RNAcentral describes it as "partial 16S ribosomal RNA". It matches the Rfam family "Bacterial small subunit ribosomal RNA", at positions 29 to 507 of the family's 1533-position model. The record is from RNAcentral.